UACGUAGGGGGCUAGCGUUGUCCGGAAUCAUUGGGCGUAAAGAGCGUGUAGGCGGUCCGGUAAGUCCGCUGUGAAAGUCGGGGGCUCAACCCUCGAAUGCCGGUGGAUACUGUCGGGCUAGAGUGCGGUAGAGGAGAGUGGAAUUCCCGGUGUAGCAGUGAAAUGCGUAGAGAUCGGGAGGAACAUCAGUUGCGAAGGCGGCUCUCUGGACCAGCACUGACACUGAGGCACGAAAGCGUGGGGAGCAAACAGG
This 253-nucleotide ribosomal RNA is filed under the name uncultured bacterium. RNAcentral describes it as "partial 16S ribosomal RNA". It matches the Rfam family "Bacterial small subunit ribosomal RNA", at positions 524 to 776 of the family's 1533-position model. The record is from RNAcentral.